This 66-nucleotide transfer RNA is filed under the name bovine gut metagenome. It matches the Rfam family "tRNA". From Rfam's summary of the family: Transfer RNA (tRNA) molecules are approximately 80 nucleotides in length. Their secondary structure includes four short double-helical elements and three loops (D, anti-codon, and T loops). RNAcentral also lists the same sequence under 1 other name. The record is from RNAcentral.
GGAGUGGCACAGUCGGUAGCGCAGCUGAUUCGUAAUCAGCAGGUCGUGGGUUCAAGUCCCAUCUCC